RNAcentral lists this transfer RNA (68 nucleotides) under Moniezia benedeni. Its description in RNAcentral is "tRNA-Leu". Lineage: Eukaryota; Metazoa; Platyhelminthes; Cestoda; Cyclophyllidea; Anoplocephalidae. The record is from RNAcentral.
GUAAAGAUGCCAGAAAAUUUGAUGGGGUUGAUUUAGGUUUAAUUUAUGGGGUAUUGCUCCUCUUUAUG